GAUGAACGCUGGCGGCGUGCCUAAUACAUGCAAGUCGAGCGAACAGACGAGGAGCUUGCUCCUCUGACGUUAUCGGCGGACGGGUGAGUAACACGUGGUUAACCUACCUAUAAGACUGGGAUAACUUCGGGAAACCGGAGCUAAUACCGGAUAAUAUGUUGAACCGCAUGGUUCAACAGUGAAAGACGGUCUUGCUGUCACUUAUAGAUGGAUCCGCGCCGCAUGAGUUAGUUGGUAAGGUAACGGCUUACCAAGGCAACGAUGGUUAGCCGACCUGAGAGGGAGGUUGCACACAUGGGAAGAGAGAAAGGGCCCAGACACCUACGGGAGGCAGCAGUCGGGACUCUUACGCAAGGGGGGAGUGCCUGACGGAGCAACGCCGGGGGAGUGAAGAAGGUCUUAGGAUCGGAAAGCGCUGUUAUUAGGAAAGAAGAAAUGUGUAAGUAACUAUGCACGUAUUGACGGUACCUAAUGAGAAAGCCACGGCUAACUACGUG
This 497-nucleotide ribosomal RNA is filed under the name uncultured bacterium. Its description in RNAcentral is "partial 16S ribosomal RNA". It matches the Rfam family "Bacterial small subunit ribosomal RNA", at positions 28 to 507 of the family's 1533-position model. The record is from RNAcentral.